CAAACCUGAGGCCGCCAGGGGUAGGGUGGAGGGGGCGGGGAGUUGCAUGCUGAGAAUUUGAAAAAUGAAGAUGAUGUAGACACUGGACUAUUAGGAUUCUGGACUCUACUUAUAAUAUCCCUAACUGCUGGAUUCUCCUGUUGCAGCUUUUCUUGGACAGUGACUUACUUUGAUUCUUUUGAACCAGGAAUGUUUCCUCCUACUCCUCUUUCACCUGCCAGGUUCAAGAAACUGACUGGACAUUCUUUCCACAUGGGCUAUAGCAUGGCGAUUUUGAAUGGCAUCGUAGCUGCUCUUACUGUAGCAUGGUGCCUCAUGUAAACCCACACUGGAGCGAUAUUGUUGGCAAAACUUAAUCAUGAUUGUUUUGUAAUAACAAGAAGGAGCAUCACUGUCUACUCAGAAGACUGAGAAACCUGCUGUUCAUUAUGUAGUUCAGAUAUUUAUCACAAUCAUCCUCAUUAUGGAAGACCUUUUAAAGCAUUGUUUUAGAAUGUCUGAGUAUUAAGAUACAGAUUAAUUGGGAAUAUCUGAGUAUUAAGUACUUUCUUCAGAGUAUAAGAUGUUUACCUCAUCUUUUUACUUUUGUGUGUGUAGUUCUUUCAAGUUGUAGGAAACAUUUUAAUGGAAUUUAAACUCAAAAACUUGAAUACAGGACAAUGCUUGCCUUUUCAUGUAUGUACUACAUUUUUUGCUAAGAAAUACUGAUAUUUCUGUUUAGUUGAGCUAGAAAUACUUCUUAUUUAUACAUUUAGGAAAGCAAAUAAUGCCUACUACUCCGACUUUUAUAGAAGCUACUUUUAAAUCAGAAUAUUUAAUUUUUGAUAUUCAUAUAAUUAAUAGAAGUUGCAUUUAUAUUUUUUAUGGGGCAUAGUUCCUUAUGUGUUUUUUUAAUGUAUUUUCAUACUACAUACUGAAUUUGUAUGUUUUUAAAAUUGUUACAUCUAGACAACUGUAAACAUUAUUUUUUUAGCUAGUGCAAACCUAGUACCUGCCAUUUUUACUAAUUUUUGUCUUUAAAAAAAGCAAAAAAGCACAUUGACCUAAGUUGAAAAUUAAGUAAGUUUAUUUUUAAC
RNAcentral lists this long non-coding RNA (1076 nucleotides) under Homo sapiens (human). RNAcentral's name for it is "HSALNT0041597". The record is from RNAcentral. Lineage: Eukaryota; Metazoa; Chordata; Mammalia; Primates; Hominidae.